RNAcentral lists this long non-coding RNA (1779 nucleotides) under Mytilus galloprovincialis (Mediterranean mussel). The record is from RNAcentral. Lineage: Eukaryota; Metazoa; Mollusca; Bivalvia; Mytilida; Mytilidae.
CAGAGAUUGUAUAAGAGAAACCACAUUUCAAAUUUACCAUUUGUUUUAAAAGAUGCUAAAAUGUAAUGUGAAUUUCUGCUGUAUAGUGCUACAAUGAGAUACCAUGAGUACAAGAGAGAAAAUUCAAAAUUAAAAACUUGAUUUUUUAUAGCUAGACACUGAAAGAUUUUGAAAGAUUGUAGAAAAACCUCAUUUAAAUUGAUUUGUAGUGUUUUUAGUUAAUCAGGAUACUGCUAUAUUCAUAUUUCAAUCAAAUUGACAGGAUAGUGAUUAUUUAUUAUACAAUAUGAAAUACAUUUUUAUUAUACUGCAAUAUGUAAAAAUCUAUAUAUACUUCUCUUUGUUGUAAUAAAAAAGCUUUUAUGCAAAGUUGUGGCAUUUUGUCAUGUUGAAUAUUGAAUUCACUAUGUGAAUAUAGCUUGUAAUUGUGAACAUAUCUAAUGUGUAUAUCUGCUUGAAUAAUUAUUUUGUGCACAUAAAUAUUUUAUGAGAACAUUUAAAUGACUUUUAUCUUUUGUAUGUAUAAUGGACAAUGUUAUUUAAAGGUUGUGUAUAUGAUUUUUCAUUGGAACAUGAUAUUUUUGUCAAAAUUAUGUUCCAACAUGAGCACAGAAAAUUACUGAAUGUUUUGAAAAAAAAAAAUCAUUGUAUUCUAAAUUUUUCUUAACAUUUGUAUAAAGAUUUUUUCUUGAAAAAAUUAAACCAUUUAUUUAUGUAAACAUGGAUAAAGAUAUUUUAUUGCAAAGAAACUGUAGGGAAACUAAAACUGUUCUUUUCAAUCACUUUUCUGCCUAAAAAAUGUUUUUUUUUGUACGAAUUUGAAUGAAAGUAACUCCUGAAACUAAAAUUAUUUCCUAAUGCUUGUCGAUUAAGACUUGGUUGGCUUUAUUUGUUUGUAUGAAUGUUUGCUCAAGCAUUGUUAUUAAGAUUUACAUCUGAAAACAACAAAAAUAGGCAGAGUUAAACUUGUAUACAUUUAUAUUAAGAUUUUUUGGACAUUAUCAAAUAAUUAAAUUUACCUUUAUACAGGUACUCUGCCAACUUAUUUUGUUUGCAGAUGUCAAUCUUUAUUAAAAUGUUUCAGCAGACAUUAAUUCAAACCAAGCAAAUAAGGAAAGGAAGAAAACCCAAUUCUUACUCUACAUGCAUUAGGUCUAAGAAAAUUGGCCAAGGAUAAAGUAUAUGACCUGAAGUCUGCAGGUAAGUAUAAAGGGAAGCUCCACAUUGAUUCCUGUUACAAGCGAUUCACAAUCAAUGCAACUUAGACAUUUGGAAUCAAAAUAAAUUUUGAGUGACUGUUCCUAUAAUCUAAAUUUAAUGGAAAUAUUCCAAAGACUAAUUUUUGUUUUUGCUUGAAAGUUAAAAUUUUAGGUCUUGAAGGAAUAUGUAUUUAUAACAUUUAGAAAGAAAAAAAACCUAGCCAUCCUUAUUCAUGAAAAAAUUACUUGAGGUAAGUAUUGGUACAAUUGAAUUGCACAAUUAUCUGACAAAAGUAAUAAAAAAAAUCAUGAUUUAUGUAAAUUACAGCAACUUUGUUAUCGAAACAAACUAUGUGAUGUCAUUGUAAAAGCUUAUUCAUUAAAUAUGAAAAACUAAGUCUUGACCAAUUUUUAAUGACAACUUUGCCUUAGGGGUUAUUGUUUGGUCAUUAUACAUCAUAGAAAUGUUGGAAUUUUAAAAAAGCUUCAUUUCUGUCUCUUUGGCCAAAGAAAGAGAGCAGAAAGGACAAUCAUUCUCAUUAAAACUUGAAGACAACAAUCAAGAAUAAACUGUACCAAG